GAGGAGAGAGAGAGAACGUGAGAGGGAGGAAAGCUUAACAGACAAACAAUGAGCGACAGACACCGGGGGAGAAGAGAAGGACAGACAGGCAGAGAGAAUAAACGGGUGGACAGACUGUGUGAGUUGAGGAUUUUCAGAGCCAGUGAGCUGGAAAAGAGAAGUGGACAACCACUGUGCCCCUGAAAAGAGUGCAUGAAGAAGGUAGGGAGGAGGGCUGUGGAGACAGAAGGAGAGAGAGAGGUGAGAUGGAGGGUCUGCAAAAGGUUGAGGGACCGAAAUAUCUCAUGGACCGUGGACAGUUCUGUAACUGUAGUGAGAUUUGAGGAGACCAUAAAGCAUGUACCUGAGGUACAGAGUAGUGUAUGUUUUGGUUUGACCACAUACAGUUCUAGAAAAUGGAGAUACAAUUCUGUGAAAGAGGUGGAAUAUUUUGAACUUUGAAGUUUUAGAAGGACGGAAGAAUUGACAUGUGAGGAGGACGGGAGACGGAGAUUACAAAGCAAAAAGUCACUUGGAGGAAAAAAUUGAGACAAUCUUUUUUACACAUUAACACAAUCCUCCAUCUGCUGUAAUAUUGCAGACACUGCAUAUGGACAGAAGGAGAGAGAGAGAGAAAGAAGGAGAGGGAGAGAAGGGACGCACCAAAAAAGGGCUGGAGUUAGAGUCGGAGUAACUGCAUGCUUAACAGACACUGUAGAGUCACGGGGAGAGAAGAAUAAGGGGGCGGAGAGACAGAGAGACAGAGAGACAGAGAGACAGACAGACAGACAGACAGACAGACAGACAGACAGACAGACAAAGUGACAGCCCCCAGCAGUCACACACAACCCCCCCCCCCCCACACACACACAAACACAAAUACACACACUGUACAGAGUGAAGGACUGACAGAUGACAGGGGAGUUGCAAGGGGCACAGAGCAAGGAUAGCCGGAUCGAGAGAGAGAGAGAGGGAGGGAGAAAGAGAGAGUGACAGAGACAGGGAGGAAGAGAGAGAGCGGGGAGGCACUGUAAACUAUAGGAAGCCCCGGUGUGAAACAAACAGGGGACAGUGGCUAGAAGAGCUCCACUCCAGAACCAGCCACCAGUCUCCAUGGACUCCAGGGAGUCGCAGCACCGCUGAACCCAGGCCCUCCUGUGCUGAACAGCAUGUCGGCGGGCCCGGGACCUCGUGACUCAGACCUACUGCUGUUGGAACUCCAGGCCCCAGGGCCGGUUGGACUGCAGACACUGUUGGACCUGCUAGUGGGGGUGUACCAAGAGUUCCACUCGUUACCCCUUGCCAGAGAGAAGUACGUCUCGAGCUUCCUACAAUGGGCGGAGCCCCUGGUGAGGCAGGUGAAGAAGACACGCAUCAAGAGGGAUGACUUCCACAUCUUGAAGGUGAUUGGUCGAGGGACCUUCAGUGAGGUGGCUGUGGCGAGGAUGCGUAGCACACAGCAAGUGUACGCGCUGAAGAUUAUGAAUAAGUGGGACAUGCUGAAGCGAGGAGAGACAGCUUGUUACCAGGAGGAGAGAGAGGUUCUGCUGAAGGGUGAUCGAAGGUGGAUCACAGAGCUGCACUAUGCCUUCCAGGAUGACAAUUACCUGUACCUGGUGAUGGACUACUACGUGGGUGGUGACCUGUUGACCCUGCUCAGUAAGUUUGGCGACCGUAUCCCUGAGGACAUGGCCCAGUUCUACUUGGCUGAGAUGGUCAUGGCGAUCGACUCCAUCCACAGGAUGGGCUAUGUGCACAGGGACAUCAAACCUGACAACAUCAUGCUGACGGCGGAGGGCCAUGUCAGGCUGGGGGACUUUGGUUCCUGUCUGAGGGUCCAGGAGGAUGGCAUGGUGUACUCUUCCCUGGCGGUGGGCACACCCGACUACCUGUCCCCAGAGAUCCUGCGUGCGGUGGAGGGAGGGGGAGGCUACGGCCCUGAGUGUGACUGGUGGGCCCUGGGGGUCUGUGCCUACGAGAUGCUGCAGGGGACCACACCCUUCUACGCAGACUCCAUCUCUGAGACCUACGCCAAGAUCAUGAACUUCCAGGAGCACUUUGAGUUCCCCCCGUCUGGCCCCGAGGUUUCAGAUGAGGCCCGUUCCCUCAUCAUGGGGCUAAUCUGUGAGAGGGAGGAUCGUAUGGGGGCCAGGGGUUCUGGGGACUUCAGGGCCCACCCCUUCUUCUGUGGACUAGACUGGGGCUCCCUGCAUGAACUUCCAGCACCCUUCCAACCUGAAGUCUCCAACGCCACUGACACCUCCAACUUUGAUGUGUUAGAUGACUGCCUCAGUGAAAUGGAAACACUGAGUGAUGUUAUGGACAAGGCCCCUAUCGGAGUUCACCUGGCUUUCGUUGGCUACUCCUACACAGCUACAAGACAGACAGGUGCCUUGGAUCGCAGUCGUGACAUCAUGAUGGAGAUUGACCACCAGCGACACCUUGGGUUGCCAAGCUUCAAUUUCCAGGAUAAGCUUAGUCAGAUGUGGCAGCUCAGAGAUGUCCUGACCACGCCUGACAACCUGCCUGCCCUGCUUGAGCUCCCCCUAGCCUUGGAGCAGGGUACUGCAGAGUCGACUCACACCACAACAGAGGAGGAAGAGGAGGAGAACGACCAGAAUUCAGUACUUGAUGAGGAUCUGCAUAGGCGGCUGCAAGAGGCAGAGAAGAGGAAUGGAGAGCUGGAGAAAGAGAUGGAGAGACUGAGAGGGGAGAUCCAGGGCCUGAAGUCCCCCAAGGAGACAGAACUGCGUGUCUGCCCGUCGUCUCUUUCUCUGCCUGCACACUGUCUGGACGAUGCGAGUGCGGCAAGCUGUGCUGUGCUGUGCUGUGACUCGCACAAAAAAAAGACUGCAUCUGUACCCUGGCCUGCAAUCCUGUUCAGUUCGUGACUGUGAGUGUGUUUCAGGGGAAGAAAUCGCCCCCUGCCUGUCACUACCCGCUGGUGAUCCCUCUCCACCGCCACCUGCUGCUGUUUCACAGGAUGCGCUGGCCACAGGAGAGGAGU
Molecule: RNA transcript, 2986 nt
Organism: Oncorhynchus nerka (sockeye salmon)
Lineage: Eukaryota; Metazoa; Chordata; Actinopteri; Salmoniformes; Salmonidae
Gene name: myotonin-protein kinase-like
Exons: 15
Source: RefSeq, a predicted model, not a curated record